UGGGGAAUUUUGGACAAUGGGCGAAAGCCUGAUCCAGCAAUGCCGCGUGUGUGAAGAAGGCCUUCGGGUUGUAAAGCACUUUUGUCCGGAAAGAAAUCCCUGGCUCUAAUACAGUCGGGGGAUGACGGUACCGGAAGAAUAAGCACCGGCUAACUACGUGCCAGCAGCCGCGGUAAUACGUAGGGUGCAAGCGUUAAUCGGAAUUACUGGGCGUAAAGCGUGCGCAGGCGGUUUGCUAAGACCGAUGUGAAAUCCCCGGGCUCAACCUGGGAACUGCAUUGGUGACUGGCAGGCUAGAGUAUGGCAGAGGGGGGUAGAAUUCCACGUGUAGCAGUGAAAUGCGUAGAGAUGUGGAGGAAUACCGAUGGCGAAGGCAGCCCCCUGGGCCAAUACUGACGCUCAUGCACGAAAGCGUGGGGGAGCAAACAGGAUUAGAUACCCUGGUAGUCCACGCCCUAAACGAUGUCAACUAGUUGUUGGGGAUUCAUUUCCUUAGUAACGUAGCUAACGCGUGAAGUUGACCGCCUGGGGAGUACGUCGCAAGAUUAAAACUCAAAUGAAUUGNCGGGG
RNAcentral lists this ribosomal RNA (570 nucleotides) under uncultured bacterium. RNAcentral's name for it is "partial 16S ribosomal RNA". It matches the Rfam family "Bacterial small subunit ribosomal RNA", at positions 355 to 918 of the family's 1533-position model. The record is from RNAcentral.